This 77-nucleotide transfer RNA is filed under the name candidate division WWE3 bacterium CG08_land_8_20_14_0_20_41_15. RNAcentral describes it as "tRNA-Val". It matches the Rfam family "tRNA". Rfam says of the family: Transfer RNA (tRNA) molecules are approximately 80 nucleotides in length. Their secondary structure includes four short double-helical elements and three loops (D, anti-codon, and T loops). The record is from RNAcentral. Lineage: Bacteria; candidate division WWE3.
GGGCUUGUAGCUCAGCUGGUUAGAGCGUUGCAUUGACAUUGCAAAGGUCUCUGGUUCGAGUCCAGACAGGCCCACCA